CAGCAGCCGCGGUAAUACGGAGGGGGCUAGCGUUGUUCGGAAUUACUGGGCGUAAAGCGCACGUAGGCGGCGUGGUAAGUUGGAGGUGAAAGCCCGGAGCUCAACUCCGGAAUUGCCUUUAAGACUGCCACGCUAGUAGGUGGGAGAGGUAAGUGGAAUUCCGAGUGUAGAGGUGAAAUUCGUAGAUAUUCGGAAGAACACCAGUGGCGAAGGCGGCUUACUGGCUCAUUCUAGACGCUGAGGUGCGAAAGCGUGGGGAGCAAACAGGAUUAGAUACCCCCGUAGUCCCUGUCUCUUAUAC
This 301-nucleotide ribosomal RNA is filed under the name uncultured bacterium. RNAcentral's name for it is "partial 16S ribosomal RNA". It matches the Rfam family "Bacterial small subunit ribosomal RNA", at positions 509 to 807 of the family's 1533-position model. The record is from RNAcentral.